Nannospalax galili (Upper Galilee mountains blind mole rat) is the source of this 163-nucleotide small nuclear RNA. Its record names the gene U1. It matches the Rfam family "U1 spliceosomal RNA". From Rfam's summary of the family: U1 is a small nuclear RNA (snRNA) component of the spliceosome (involved in pre-mRNA splicing). Its 5' end forms complementary base pairs with the 5' splice junction, thus defining the 5' donor site of an intron. NCBI's taxonomy places the organism in Eukaryota, Metazoa, Chordata, Mammalia, Rodentia, Spalacidae. The record is from Ensembl.
AUACUUUACUGCCAGGGGAGAUAUGAUCAUGAAGGCGGGUUUUCCAGGGCAAGGCUUCUCCAUUGCACUCCAGAUGUGCUGACCCCUGUGAUUUCAUCUCAAAUGUGGGACAUUUAACUGCAUAAUUUGUGGUAGUGAGUUACUGUGUUCACACUUUCCCCUG